CCUACGUGAGGCAGCAGUGAGGAAUAUUGGUCAAUGGGCGGAAGCCUGAACCAGCCAAGUAGCGUGCAGGAUGAAGGCCCUCCGGUUUGUAAACUGCUUUUAUACGGGAAUAACGCGCCUUACGUGUAGGGCUUUGCAUGUACCGUAUGAAUAAGGACCGGCUAAUUCCGUUCCAGCAGCCGCGGGAAUACGGAAGGUCCGGGCGUUAUCCGGAUUUAGUGGGUUGAAAGGGAGCGUAGGCCGCAAACCAAGGGUGCUGUGAAAUGUCCGGGCUCAACCCGGGCCUUGCAGCGAGAACUGGCGUGCUUGAGUCCGCGGAAGGCAGGCGGAAUUCGUUGUGUAGCGGUGAAAUGCGUAGAUAUGACGAAGAACCCCGAUUGCGAAGGCAGCUUGCUGCAGCGGAACUGACGCUGAUGCUCGAAAGCGCGGGUAGCGAACAGGAUUAGAUACCCCAGUAGUC
This 460-nucleotide ribosomal RNA is filed under the name uncultured bacterium. RNAcentral's name for it is "partial 16S ribosomal RNA". It matches the Rfam family "Bacterial small subunit ribosomal RNA", at positions 338 to 795 of the family's 1533-position model. The record is from RNAcentral.